RNAcentral lists this ribosomal RNA (356 nucleotides) under uncultured bacterium. Its description in RNAcentral is "bacterial SSU rRNA". It matches the Rfam family "Bacterial small subunit ribosomal RNA", at positions 223 to 589 of the family's 1533-position model. The record is from RNAcentral.
GGAUGAGCCCGCGGCGUAUUAGCUAGUUGGUAAGGUAACGGCUUACCAAGGCAACGAUACGUAGCCGACCUGAGAGGGUGAUCGGCCACACUGGAACUGAGACACGGUCCAGACUCCUACGGGAGGCAGCAGUGGGGAAUAUUGCACAAUGGGCGCAAGCCUGAUGCAGCGACGCCGCGUGGGGGAUGAAGGCCUUCGGGUUGUAAACUCCUUUCGCUAGGGACGAAGCUUUGUUGUGACGGUACCUAGAUAAGAAGCACCGGCUAACUACGUGCCAGCAGCCGCGGUAAUACGUAGGGUGCGAGCGUUGUCCGGAAUUACUGGGCGUAAAGGGCUCGUAGGUGGUUUGUCGCGUC